UCUGCUAUUAAGACCCUGGAGGCA
This 24-nucleotide non-coding RNA is filed under the name Cricetulus griseus (Chinese hamster). The record is from RNAcentral. Lineage: Eukaryota; Metazoa; Chordata; Mammalia; Rodentia; Cricetidae.